CGUUUCCAAUUACCGUUGACGCCUCUGUUGCUACGGCAACCUGAUCGCUUCCGCUUUCCUCAGAGUGGCAGACUACAUAUACAUUUACAUUUCGGGCAUUUAGCGGACGCUUUUUUGCUUAUCCUAACUUACAGUCAAGCCAUGAUAAAGCCUGGGCCACAGGCGCACUGGGCAGAACACUCAGUCACUCCAGGAACAAGCUGAUGGACUCAGUAGAUGUUCAGUGACGUGUCAGGGAGCACGUGUGGUAAUGUCACCGGAGGGAUGUUUGCUGAAAGAGUGAGAAUAGGAACAUGAUCACUAGUUUCGUGGUGGAACAGUGUCAGCAGCACCAUGUUGGUCCUGAGUUGAAGUAUUUCAAGUGGAGUCCGUCACAGCCACAGGACAGUGACUGCAACCUUUGAUGAACUGAGACCUACUUAGCAGCUUGUAUUAAAAAAAGAGGUUAUUUCAAACUGAGAGUUUUGUCUGGUUGGGGGCUCGUUUGUACGAUGGUCUGGGUGAUAGUGCAGCAUCUCCGUUAAAACACUUGGGAGUCCUCUGUUCCAUGUUGAUACUUCUUCUUGUCAUGUUGGUGAGGUUUUUUUUUUUCGAUACAAAAGCAAAGGUUUUU
Molecule: long non-coding RNA, 613 nt
Organism: Acanthopagrus latus (yellowfin seabream)
Lineage: Eukaryota; Metazoa; Chordata; Actinopteri; Spariformes; Sparidae
Exons: 3
Source: RefSeq, a predicted model, not a curated record